Molecule: long non-coding RNA, 479 nt
Filed under: Heterocephalus glaber (naked mole-rat)
Lineage: Eukaryota; Metazoa; Chordata; Mammalia; Rodentia; Bathyergidae
Description: lncRNA (ENSHGLG00000037335.1)
Source: RNAcentral
CCAGAUACAGUGUGGCACAGCAGCGUGGCCACACUGGCCAGGGGGCGGGGCUGGUGCCCCUCUCUGCUGAGGAAGGAGAGCUGGCCGCGGCGGGCUCCUCAGCUGUGCUGCUGUGGUGGGGCAUUGCGCCCCCUGCAGGCACCUGACUCGUCCCACUGUGAGCGUCACGGAGGAGACACAGCUACAGGAACACAAACGGCGUGAUUGAGCACUACGGAGAAGUUUGGAAAAUGUGUUACAGUAAAACACGCUGCUGUGAAUCGCUUCAGUCUUCCCCUCUCUUCCCACCGUCCCGGCCACUUCCUGCAGCAGCUCUAGAGUCCUCCUUCCUGAGGGUCUUCGCCUGUGCUGACCUGGCAGCCUCCAUGCCCUGAGUUGAUAAGGCACUGACCUUUCAAGGUCGUUGUGACCUUCGGGGAGAGCUGGAAGUCACGGGGCCUCAAAUCAGGGGAUGAAGGUGGAUGAGGACACAGCAUCAG